RNAcentral lists this ribosomal RNA (134 nucleotides) under Periophthalmus magnuspinnatus. Lineage: Eukaryota; Metazoa; Chordata; Actinopteri; Gobiiformes; Gobiidae. The record is from RNAcentral.
CUUUAUGGCUAAACCUCCUCGUCUUCAAAGUCUGAUCUUGUCAGGUCUCAGAAGCUAAACAGGGUUGGGCCUGGUUAGUGUUUUGAUGGGAUCAAAGUAUGAAGGAUCACUGUGAAUAUCAGACGCCAGCAGCA